CUGCAUAAUAAAUUUAAUAAGUUAAUGAACUUACUAAAUAACAGGACUAUGGAAAUUCCAGCUAUUGAAUAAGCAGGCUUGAGUACCAGGAGAGUUUAGUGGAGAAAUGGUUCAGUGGGAUUCUUUGUGUUUACCUGUUGGCUGUAGCUGUUUGCUCUUCUGUGCUGAGAAGACCCUGGGACUCUGGCCUAGGUGGAAAUGAGCACUGUGGUCAGUUGGUGCUGUUUGCUUUGGAAGUGUCAUGGGAGCCUGGUGACAUGUGAGGCAUGUCUUUGACAGCCAGCCUUGAUUUAUGUGUUUAACAGUAAAUCAUAACCUCUCAGAGCCCUGAAUGUAAAAGUUCUCUGAGUUAGAUCCUGUGAUAAAAAAUUCAGAAAGUUAUAUCUACCCCACCUUUUGUCUAUUACAACUGUCUUGUACAUUUAAUUUUGUGGUUGAAGUCAAGGGUGCAGAUCUAAUUUCAUUCAUUUUUAGGCUAAUUAACACUCUAGAUGCUAUGGUGAUCAAACUUCUGUCUGGAAAAUAUCUGCAACAGAGCAAAUUUUUAGAUCAUAGAAAUUUAAAAAUAUGUAUCAUCUCCAUGUGCCCUGAG
This 592-nucleotide long non-coding RNA is filed under the name Bos taurus (domestic cattle). RNAcentral describes it as "long non-coding RNA NONBTAT024074". Lineage: Eukaryota; Metazoa; Chordata; Mammalia; Artiodactyla; Bovidae. The record is from RNAcentral.